Paenibacillus sp. MAEPY2 is the source of this 156-nucleotide non-coding RNA. The record is from Rfam. NCBI's taxonomy places the organism in Bacteria, Bacillati, Bacillota, Bacilli, Caryophanales, Paenibacillaceae.
GAGGCGAUAUCGGCUAUUACAGACCGAAUUGCACUCCGGCAAUAGUAUGCUUUGUUCUGCUUCAUAUUUGUUGCAGUGACAAGGCAGGAAUGGUAAUAAAUGAACAAAGUGAGUUGUUGGAUUCUGCUCUGAGCCGAAGAGGACCGAGACAGAAGG